ACCGCCACGGACACCGCCGCGGACACCGCCACCGCCGCGCUGCCCGGCGUGGUCGCCAGCUGAGCCCUGCGGGGAGCUCCCGUCCCGCCCCGCGGUGGCCGCGCAGGGCGCGGGGCUCCGUGUCCCGGGUGAGGGGAAGGCGCUGUGCAGCCCGGAGCACCGGAGCGGAGCGCCUGUCCCGCACCUCGGGCUGCGCUCGCCUCCGCGAUCAGCUUCGCUCUUGAACUUCCAAAAACCGUGGAGGAGCGACUGGGGCCGCUCAGGAGCGCGCCCGGCUCCGAGGCGGGCGGACAGGAGCCGGGGCAGGACAGGAGAGGCUGGGGGCUCACACCUGCUCCCCAGCACCACGCUGGUGGACAGGUUGAAAUCACAUAUUAUGAAGGAAUUCUGUGCUGUUGGGGUGGUGAGGCACUGAAACAGGUUGUCCAGAGAAGUGGAUGCUCCAACCCUGGAAAUACUCAAGGCCAGGCUGGAUGGGACUUUGAGCAACCUGGUCCGGUGCCUGUGGUUGACGCAAGAUGAUCUUUAAGGUCCCUUCCAACCCAAACUAUUCCAUGGUCUAUGAAAAUCUGGUUAUUUGCCAUGCAUGCUUCCUAACAAAAAGCCCUCCCAUUGCCCUGCUCUGCCCUGGCAGUUUUUUACAUGUGAGCUAUAAGUGAACCCUUCUGACAGAAACAGGAUUCUGUUACAGAAAGGCAGACAUGAGAAGAUCACCACCAAGAAAGGCUACAACAAAAGAAAAAACUGCUUUGUGCCUGUGUCCAGGCAAGAGGAGGUUGCCUACAGCAGCAAGCUUUUGGAGCUCUCCAGUCCAACUGCUAAAACAAGGCCAGCUUCAAAACUAGAGCAGUUUGUACAGGGGCUUUGAGUAUCUCCAAGAAAGGAGAAGCACAGCCACCUUGGGCAGCCAGUGCUAGUGCUGACCACCUUGAAGCAAAAAGGUUUAUUUCUGAUACCCUGGUAGAUUUCCCUCAUUGCAGCUUGCCCUGUGACCUUUUGCUGUACACAUCUGGAAAGGGUCUGGCUCCUUUUUCUCUCAGACCGUUCUCCAGGCUCAGCAAUUCCAGCUCCCCUGCAGUCAAGCUUGGCCAGCAACUGAGGUGUUCUCCACACUGCAGAUCCUUGGAAUGCAAUGUAGGGUACAGCACAGCAAAACUUGUAACCCAACAGAAGAGAAUAAAAGACCACAUUACGCUCACCCUGCAGAAUAUUUGCUGAGAAGAUUCAUUUCUUGGAAACCAGCCAGAAUCCAGCGAUGCUCAUACAAAAGCACGUGUCAGGACAUUUUAAAAGCAGUGCAACAUUGGCAUGAUGAUCACGGAGAUCAUUUGCCAAUGGUGAACUCUGCAGCUGAAUCCAAUCAGGGUUGUGAAAUGGUCCUUUCAGCCUCCUCUGACUCAUAAUAACAGUAAUAAUAAUAAUUUGGGGUUAGAUUUUGAAUUUGGCUGUGGCUCUUAAUAGAGGGUUGUGGAAAGCUGCACCUGCUGGAGCUGUGCACCAGCCCAGGGAAGGGAGAAGGAUCAGUCAGAAACAUUUCAAAUGUUUGUCAUGUGCCUUUCCAGCUCUCCAAGUGGGGAUGCCUUUUCCUCUCCUGUUCUGUGGCAUUUUUAGUUUGUUUGAAUUUAGGACAGUGGCUAAACACAAGGUAAUCAGCCUGUGACAGUGAAAUCGUUUGUUUGAUUACUUUUUGCCAGCAAAUCAUUAUUAUAACACGUUGGGCUAGCUGAUGGACCGUGGGAGCGGUGGCAAUCAAAUACAGGGAGGAAAGAAAAUACUUUUUCUAUGUGGGAGAGUGACCUGGGGAGCGUGCACAGUAUGAAAUAAUCAAGCUGCUGGCAGAUCCCAGUGUACCAGGGGGAGGACACAGGAAUGGAAAGCUCAGCAGUUUCACAGAACUUGCUCCAGUUGCUCCAGGUCUAGAGAUGCCAUUCUGCCUGUCUGCAGUCAGUCCAAGGAAAACAGCUAGUGUGAAAGCAGGUCUGUCCUGCCUCCUUUAGCUACAACCCUAGCACAAGAGGAGGGCAAACCAGGAGGAUUGAGUUUGAUUAAUUUUCUCUACUUUGGACCCAGCUCAGGGCAGAAAUAACAAGCAUCACUGUGGACAGACUAUCAAUGUGAUAUUGAUGUCUCUAUGUAAUUUAAAAUUAAUUAAACCACUCAAAAACACCUUA
This is a long non-coding RNA of Poecile atricapillus (Black-capped chickadee), 2171 nucleotides long. RefSeq lists it as uncharacterized. Lineage: Eukaryota; Metazoa; Chordata; Aves; Passeriformes; Paridae. The transcript has 2 exons. The record is from RefSeq and is a predicted model, not a curated record.